RNA transcript from Brassica napus (rape), 2571 nucleotides. It is a transcript of the gene named tricyclene synthase, chloroplastic, with no coding region annotated. The transcript is spliced from 7 exons. Lineage: Eukaryota; Viridiplantae; Streptophyta; Magnoliopsida; Brassicales; Brassicaceae. The record is from RefSeq and is a predicted model, not a curated record.
ACAUUUUUAAGAGAUUCAAAUUUAUUAAUUAUUUUAGGUGCAUAUGGCAAAAAAUUUAAAUAUGUAUUUUAAAAGGUAGAAUUAUGUAUUGACUCCAGCUUGCCCCUGAUAAUUGAUGUUACCAAACGGGAAUCAAACCAUCAUAAGCCAAUAUAUAAAAUACUAUAAGACAAGUGGUUAAAACAUACUCCCUCUGUUUCAUAUUAAGUGUUAUUUUAAUUCAUUUUUCUUGUUUCACAAAGAGUAUCAUUCUAUAAUAUCAAUGCAAUUUAUACAAUCUUUCAGUUCAAAAUUAAUUGCAAAAUGCAUUGAUUUUAUAAAUAAAUUGAUCUAUCUAAAAUGCUAUUGGUUAGUGAAAACAUAAAUGUAUUUUAAUAAGUUUCUUGUGUGAAAAAUGUCUAAGUGACACUCUUCGUGAAACGGAGGGAGUACUAUAUUACUCAAUUCAUAAUAAGCCAAACGGGAACCAAACCACAAUAAGUCACUACAAAUUUUAUAAAAGUAUUAAAAGACGCGUAAUUCAGGGCAAAUGCGUGGACAUGAUGAUGUUUAACAUCUUUUUUUUUUUAUGUUUAACAUCUAUAUGUUAUCUAUAUAUAUAUAUACAUGCGAAUAGGUAUCUACUACCAAGUACCUUCUACAUACCUACAGUAAUAUUCUCUUUAAUGGCUAGUCUACUGCAGAUGGGUUUACCUCUUAUUUACAGGAAUACUCUUGUGAAGAGCAUCCAACGUCCUCGGUCUUUCACUUGCACCAUAGUAGCCAAAACAACAAGGGCCGAUGAGUCUCCAGUUGUGCUUCGUCGUUCCGCAAACUAUCAGCCUUCUCUUUGGGACCAUCAUCACCUCCUCUCGGUCGAGAAUAAAUAUUCGAAAGAUGAAAGUGUGCAUGAUAGAGAUUUGUUGAAAGAAAAUGUGAGGACGAUGCUCAAUGACGAGAGGACCACUCAUCUCGAGCAAUUGGAGCUCAUUGACGAUCUGCAAAAACUAGGCGUUUCUUACCAUUUUGAACGGGAAAUAGACAAUAUUUUGACAUUUACUUAUCACAAAGAUAGAAGAAACUUCAUGGAGUAUGACAUGGAAUACGAUCUACAUGCUACUGCACUCGAAUUCCGACUGCUCAGACAACAUGGUUUCAAUGUUCCAGAAGAUGUAUUUGAUGUUUUCAUGGAAAACUGUGGAAAGUUUGACAGCCAUGAUAUAAAUGGCCUCUUAUCUCUGUACGAGGCGUCAUAUCUUUCAACAAAAUCGGACACUAAACUGCAAAAAAACAUUAGAGUUUUUGCAACACAACAACUCAGAAACUUUGUUGAUACUCAUGGUAGUAAAGAUUUGUCAUCCUGUGAUGUGGAGAUGGUGGUCCAAGCGUUAGAUAUGCCAUACCAUUGGCGAAUGGGAAGGCUAGCCACGAGAUGGUACAUAGAUAUGUAUGGAAAGAAACAUAACAAGAACCCUAUGUUACUUGAAUUCUCCAAGCUCGAUUUCAGUAUCGUACAAGCUGUUUAUCAAGAAGAACUCAAAUACGUUUCCAGCUGGUGGAGGGAGACAGGUUUAGCUAAUCAACUUCACUUUUCAAGAGAUAGAAUAGUGGAGAAUUAUUUUUGGACUACUGGACAAAUCCAAGAGCCUCAAUUUGGGAAGUUGGGAUGUGAAUCGUCUUGAUGACCUCCCCGAGUACAUGAGGCUGUGUUUUCUUGUUGUUUACAAUGAAGUAAAUAACAUUGGAUGUGAUAUCCUCAGAAAUAAAGAUAUCAACGUCAUUCCUUUCCUCAAAAAGUCUUGGGCAGAUGUAUGCAAGGCAUAUUUAGUAGAAGCAAUGUGGUACAAAGGAGGGUACAAACCAAAUUUGGAAGAAUACAUGCAAAAUGCUUGGAUUUCAAUCUCGUCCCCAACAAUAUUUGUUCACUUCUACUGUGUAUUCUCCGAGCAACUCUCUGUUCAAGUCUUGGAGACUUUGUCCGAACACCGACAAAACAUCGCCAGAUGCUCUUCCUUUGUGUUCCGUCUAGCCAAUGACCUUGUAACCUCGCCGGAUGAAAUGGCGAGAGGAGAUGUCCUCAAAUCGAUCCAAUGUUACAUGAACGAGACCGGAGUUUCAGAAGAGAAAGCACGCAUGCACGUGCAGAAGAUGAUCAACGACAUGUGGGAUGAAAUGAAUUAUGAGAAAAUAGAAAAUCACUCUUCGCUGAUCCCUCAAGAUUUUGCGGAAACAGUAAUAAAUUUGGCACGUAUGUCGCAAUGCAUGUAUCAAUACGGAGAUGGCCAGUCCAGAGAAAUCCAAAGUCAUUGAUCGUGUCAUGUCCUUACUCUUUAGUCCCAUUCCUCUGGAGUAACUUGUAUACUAUGUAUGUUUUUAAAUAAAUUGUUGGUCUUAUUAGACUUUGGUCUUUGGACUUAGUCAUAAAAGAUGGAAUAAGCUCCGAGAAUGUAGGAGCCUGGAAUGUUUUAGUAGCUACUUUGAAUGUUUCUAUGUUUGCUGCAAGUCCUCCGAAUAUGUAAGAGGCAGUUGCUUUUGUACAUAAUCGGCUGUAAGGGCCACUCAAGUAAUAAAAACGAAUUAGUUUUUACUUUU